UAGGGAAUAUUGCACAAUGGGCGCAAGCCUGAUGCAGCAACGCCGCGUGCGCGAUGAAGGCCUUCGGGUUGUAAAGCGCUUUUCUGGAGGAAGAGGAAGGACGGUACUCCAGGAAGAAGGAUCGGCUAACUACGUGCCAGCAGCCGCGGUAACACGUAGGAUCCGAGCGUUAUCCGAAUUUACUGGGCGUAAAGCGCGUGUAGGCGGUUCGGUAAGUUGGACGUGAAAUCUCCCGGCUCAACUGGGCGAGGUCGUUCAAAACUGCCGGGCUAGAGGGCGGUAGAGGGAGGUGGAAUUCCCGGUGUAGUGGUGAAAUGCGUAGAGAUCGGGAGGAACACCAGUGGCGAAAGCGGCCUCCUGGACCGCACCUGACGCUCCAGACGCGAAAGCUAGGGGGAGCGGAACGGGAUUAGAUACCCCGGUAGUCCCUAGGCCGUAAACGAUGUGGACUUGGCGGUGGGUGGGUAAAAGCCAUCCGUGCCGAAGCCAACGCGAUAAGUCCACCGCCUGGGGACUACGGCCGC
This 524-nucleotide ribosomal RNA is filed under the name uncultured Chloroflexota bacterium. RNAcentral's name for it is "bacterial SSU rRNA". It matches the Rfam family "Bacterial small subunit ribosomal RNA", at positions 355 to 889 of the family's 1533-position model. The record is from RNAcentral. Lineage: Bacteria; Bacillati; Chloroflexota.